RNAcentral lists this ribosomal RNA (636 nucleotides) under uncultured bacterium. RNAcentral's name for it is "bacterial SSU rRNA". It matches the Rfam family "Bacterial small subunit ribosomal RNA", at positions 202 to 842 of the family's 1533-position model. The record is from RNAcentral.
UAAAGAAUUUCGGUUAUCGAUGGGGAUGCGUUCCAUUAGUUAGUUGGCGGGGUAACGGCCCACCAAGACGACGAUGGAUAGGGGUUCUGAGAGGAAGGUCCCCCACAUUGGAACUGAGACACGGUCCAAACUCCUACGGGAGGCAGCAGUGAGGAAUAUUGGUCAAUGGACGAGAGUCUGAACCAGCCAAGUAGCGUGAAGGAUGACUGCCCUAUGGGUUGUAAACUUCUUUUAUAUGGGAAUAAAACAGGGUAUGCAUACCCUCUUGUAUGUACCAUAUGAAUAAGGAUCGGCUAACUCCGUGCCAGCAGCCGCGGUAAUACGGAGGAUCCGAGCGUUAUCCGGAUUUAUUGGGUUUAAAGGGAGCGUAGGUGGAUUGUUAAGUCAGUUGUGAAAGUUUGCGGCUCAACCGUAAAAUUGCAGUUGAAACUGGCAGUCUUGAGUACAGUAGAGGUGGGCGGAAUUCGUGGUGUAGCGGUGAAAUGCUUAGAUAUCACGAAGAACUCCGAUUGCGAAGGCAGCUCACUAGACUGCAACUGACACUGAUGCUCGAAAGUGUGGGUAUCAAACAGGAUUAGAUACCCUGGUAGUCCACACAGUAAACGAUGAAUACUCGCUGUUUGCGAUAUACAGUAA